CCCUUAGAUGUUCUGGGCCGCACGCGUGCUACACUGAGUGGAUCAGCGGGUCAGGUUGCGCGAAAGCGUUUCCUAAUCUUUAAAUCCGCUCGUGAUGGGGAUUGACGGUUGCAAUUUUCUGUCAUGAACGAGGAAUACCUUGUAAGCGCGGGUCAUCAUCCCGCGCUGAAUACGUCCCUGCCCUUUGUACACACCGCCCGUCGCUCCUACCGAUUGAAUGCUCAGGUGAGCCAUUCGGACUUUCAUCAUGCUGGUUCCCAGUUUUGAUGAAGGAAAGUCUUGCGAACCUUAUCAUUUAGAGGAAGGAGAAGUCGUAACA
Molecule: ribosomal RNA, 319 nt
Filed under: uncultured eukaryote
Lineage: Eukaryota
Description: partial 18S ribosomal RNA
Rfam family: Eukaryotic small subunit ribosomal RNA
Source: RNAcentral